AGCAGCCGCGGUAAUUCCAGCUCCAAUAGCGUAUAUUAAAGUUGUUGCAGUUAAAAAGCUCGUAGUUGAAUUUCGGGAUCAAUAUGUCGGUCGUGCCUUGGUACGUACUGGUAUCAUUGGUUUCUCCUUUCUGACGAACCAUGAUGUCAUUAAUUUGGUGUUAUGGGAAGUUAGGACUGUUACUUUGAAAAAAUUAGAGUGUUUAAAGCAGGCUUUAGCUUGAAUACAUUAGCAUGGAAUAAUGAAAUAGGACGUUCGAACCUAUUUUGUUGGUUUCUAGGUAUCAACGUAAUGAUUAAUAGGAUAGUUGGGGGCAUUAGUAUUCAAUUGUCAGAGGUGAAA
This 342-nucleotide ribosomal RNA is filed under the name uncultured Glomus. Its description in RNAcentral is "SSU rRNA". It matches the Rfam family "Eukaryotic small subunit ribosomal RNA", at positions 569 to 916 of the family's 1831-position model. The record is from RNAcentral. Lineage: Eukaryota; Fungi; Glomeromycota; Glomeromycetes; Glomerales; Glomeraceae.